CACCGCGGUUAUACGAGAGGCUCAAGUUGACAGACAACGGCGUAAAGAGUGGUUAAGGAAAAUACCAAACUAAAGUCGAACAUCCUCAGAGCUGUUAUACGCUUCCGAAGAUAUGAAGUUCAACCACGAAAGUGACUUUACUACCCCUGAACCCACGAAAGCUAAGGAA
This 169-nucleotide ribosomal RNA is filed under the name Elagatis bipinnulata (rainbow runner). RNAcentral describes it as "partial small subunit ribosomal RNA". Lineage: Eukaryota; Metazoa; Chordata; Actinopteri; Carangiformes; Carangidae. The record is from RNAcentral.